This 502-nucleotide ribosomal RNA is filed under the name uncultured bacterium. Its description in RNAcentral is "partial 16S ribosomal RNA". It matches the Rfam family "Bacterial small subunit ribosomal RNA", at positions 28 to 507 of the family's 1533-position model. The record is from RNAcentral.
GAUGAAUGCUGGCGGCGUGCCUAACACAUGCAAGUCGAGCGGCAGCGAGUUUUACACUGAAUUCUGGAAGCUUCUGAGUAGUACAGAAGAUUUAUUCAAGAGUUUUGUGUAAAAUGUCGGCGAGCGGCGGACGGCUGAGUAACGCGUAGGAAUUUGCCCCAAAGUGAGGAAUAACUGCCCGAAAGGGUAGCUAAUGCCGCAUAUGGUCUUCGGAUUAAAGCCUUCGGGCGCUUUGGGAGAAGCCUGCGUUGGAUUAGGUAGUUGGUAGGGUAAUGGCCUACCAAGCCGACGAUCCAUAGCUGGGCUGAGAGGAGGAUCAGCCAGACUGGAACUGAGACACGGUCCAGACUCCUACGGGAGGCAGCAGUGAGGAAUCUUCCACAAGGGGCGAAAGCCUGAUGGAGCAACGCCGCGUGAAGGAUGAAGGCCUUCGGGUUGUAAACUUCUUUUAUGAGUGAAGAAUGUGACGGUAACUCAUGAAUAAGCACCGGCUAACUACGUG